This 916-nucleotide ribosomal RNA is filed under the name seawater metagenome. RNAcentral describes it as "bacterial LSU rRNA". It matches the Rfam family "Bacterial large subunit ribosomal RNA", at positions 1586 to 2487 of the family's 2925-position model. The record is from RNAcentral.
UGAAGUCAUUGAUGCCAUGCUUCCAGGAAAAGCUUCUAAGCUUCAGAUAUAUAGGAACCGUACCCCAAACCGACACAGGUGGUUAGGUAGAGAAUACUAAGGCGCUUGAGAGAACUCGGGUGAAGGAACUAGGCAAAAUAGUACCGUAACUUCGGGAGAAGGUACGCUCUCUAAUGUGAAUGACUUGCUCAGUAAGCAUCGGAGAGUCGAAGUAACCAGGUGGCUGGAACUGUUUAUUAAAAACACAGCACUGUGCAAAAUCGAAAGAUGACGUAUACGGUGUGACGCCUGCCCGGUGCCGGAAGGUUAAUUGAUUGGGUUAGCUCUGCGAAGCUCAUGAUCGAAGCCCCGGUAAACGGCGGCCGUAACUAUAACGGUCCUAAGGUAGCGAAAUUCCUUGUCGGGUAAGUUCCGACCUGCACGAAUGGCGUAAUCAUGGCCACACUGUCUCCACCCGAGACUCAGUGAAAUUGAAUUUGCGGUUAAGAUGCCGUAUACCCGCGGCUAGACGGAAAGACCCCGUGAACCUUUACUAUAGCUUGACAGUGAACAUUGCUCCUACAUGUGUAGGAUAGGUGGGAGGCUUUGAAACUUUGUCGCCAGAUGAAGUGGAGCCAACCUUGAAAUACCACCCUUGUAUGCGUGAUGUUCUAACCUAGGGCCCUAAUCGGGCUUGGGGACACUGUCUGGUGGGUAGUUUGACUGGGGCGGUCUCCUCCUAAAGAGUAACGGAGGAGCACGAAGGUUGGCUAAGUACGGUCGGACAUCGUACGGUUAGUGCAAUGGCAUAAGCCAGCUUAACUGCGAGACAGACACGUCGAGCAGGUACGAAAGUAGGUCAUAGUGAUCCGGUGGUUCUGUAUGGAAGGGCCAUCGCUCAACGGAUAAAAGGUACUCCGGGGAUAACAGGCUGAUA